UGAGGAAUAUUGCGCAAUGGGGGAAACCCUGACGCAGCAACGCCGCGUGAGUGAGGAAGGUUUUCGGACCGUAAAGCUCUGUCGAGCGGGAAGAAAUGCAUGGUGGCUAAUAUCCAUCAUGCUUGACGGUACCGCUAAAGGAAGCACCGGCUAACUCCGUGCCAGCAGCCGCGGUAAUACGGGGGGUGCGAGCGUUGUUCGGAAUUAUUGGGCGUAAAGAGCGUGUAGGCGGCCGAAUAAGUCGGAUGUGAAAUCCCUGGGCUUAACCCAGGACGUGCAUUUGAAACUGUUCGGCUAGAGUAGGGGAGAGGAAAGUGGAAUUCCUGGUGUAGAGGUGAAAUUCGUAGAUAUCAGGAGGAACACCGGUGGCGAAGGCGACUUUCUGGCCCUAUACUGACGCUGAGACGCGAGAGCGUGGGUAGCAAACAG
This 429-nucleotide ribosomal RNA is filed under the name uncultured bacterium. RNAcentral describes it as "bacterial SSU rRNA". It matches the Rfam family "Bacterial small subunit ribosomal RNA", at positions 355 to 775 of the family's 1533-position model. The record is from RNAcentral.